Molecule: long non-coding RNA, 1049 nt
Filed under: Capra hircus (goat)
Lineage: Eukaryota; Metazoa; Chordata; Mammalia; Artiodactyla; Bovidae
Description: lncRNA (ENSCHIG00010022755.1)
Source: RNAcentral
AUGGAGGCAUUUACUGACCAGGCUCUACACUAUCAGAGAAUGACCUUCCCUCUUGACUCACUGAUGUCAGGUGAGCAGAGGCAGGUGAAGCAAGGACUGGUUGAGCAGAGGAUGUACAGAGAGCAAGAGAGUAGCUGUCUUGAUGCUGCUGUAUUCAUUGUGUUGAUGUAUCACAAUUCAUUUAACCACUCCUUUGUGGAUGGCACCUUCCCAAUAGUUUAAUCAUGAAUACUACACAUAUUGGGCUUCCUUGGUGGUCCAGUGGUUAAGAGUUCGCCUUUGUAAUGCAAGGGACACCAGUUUGAUCCCUGGUCCGGGAAAAUCCCACAUGCCAUGGGGCAACGGAACCCGUACACUCUACCUACCAAGCCUGCACGCCUGCAACAGGAGAAGACGCUGCAGUGAGAAGCCUGUGCACCUUAAGUGGAGGGCAGUCCCUGCUCACUAACUAGAGAAAGCCCACGUGCAGCAACUGAGAACCAGCACAGCCGGAAAGAAAAUAAACAAAAAUUUAAAAAUAAAUAAAUAUCAGACACAUAAUCUUUUGCAUUCAAAGAGGUUUGCACUGCCACACAGGGCUCUUGUAGAGAGAAACAAGUAUACCACAUGGAGCAUUCAUGAAAUAAAUGCUUAAAGGAGGUAAUUUUCUUCCUGUAACAAUUACCUACAGAGUAGUCUCUGUGUUUUGAUAUAUUUGGCACCACUAGUGGGAAGUUUGGGGAUGAAUACCUGCAAAGUGUUGCUGUCUCCAUAGGUGCUUUCGUCCUCAGCAAAGGGGUAUAUCAAAUUGUUUUUGGGGAAAGAAUGUGAGAUUCCCAAGAAAUAGAAGAGCACAUUGUCAUCAUCAUGGGAGAAAUCAGAACUUUGUGGACUUCUUUUUACUAUUAUUUUACAGAAUGUUUGUAUUUUGAAUAACUUUUAGGGUGAGUAAGGAUCUUGACCUGUUCAGUGCUUAGCCCCUCAGUUCAGUUCAGUUCAGUUCAGCUGCUCAGUCGUGUACGACUCUUUGUGACCUUAUGAAUUGCAGCACGCCAGGCCUCCCUGUCCAU